CCGCUGAAAGCCAGACUAAAAGGAAUGGGACCUGGGAGCCACUUGUCCCUUCCUUCCUCCCAGUUCAAGGAGGCCCUCUCUAUAUCAAGAAUCUCAACUCAUCAGAUAUGCCACUACUCUCUACUGCAUCCAAGUGAGCGCAGCAGCGAACGGAGGGUGAGGUUCGGUGGAGCCUUCAUUCUGCACUCCACUAUACUCAAACUGCUACUCCAGAAGUGCUAGUCCUCAACUCAAGAGCAGUUUCUCAGUAUAUAUAGAUCUUUCUGAUUCCAAGUUAGCUGCCCAACAUGGCAAAGGAUGACCAUGUGGAUGAUGAAAACCCUAGAUCUCACUCUGCUAAAAACAUCAGCGAUAUCAACAGGGAAGAAAUUUUCAGCAUGUUCUUAGUCCAUGGUCAUGAAACUGCGGUGUUCAACUCCCAAACAGGCGAAGUUGUCCCUUCAAAUAUGCGAUUGCAAGUAGAAGAUAUUGUAGCCACGCUUUACUAGUUCAUGCUCCGGUGCUACCCCGACUGAGCUUUUCAUUUCAUAAAACCUCUCCUCUUUAAUUAUGCCAUAUAUUUGUUUUCUGGUUCCUCAUGCCAGAAUUAACGUUCUUGACCUUGUAAGGCCUAUUCUUGACCUUGUAAGGCCCCGUCUCUUUGUCCGACUCAUCCUCACCCUUCUUACCCAUUUCUUUCUUGCUACCCGCAAAACCAAUCUCUCGAUCACCGUGUUUGCGGAUCUCCAACAACCACCUGUUCCCUGCUCCCGUCUAUCCCUCCUGAGCUAUCUCAUCAAUGUUUUGAUGCAUAAUAAAUGUUGGACUUAUGUAAUUCCACGAUCGAGUUCUACUUUUGGGACUACGUUUAAUUUUUUUUAGUAAAUUGCACUUUGCCCCAUAUAAAGGUGCCAUGGUUUUUAAAAAAACCCAUAAAAAGUAUGUUGUGCCACUAACCCAUACAAACAUGCCAUGUCGUAGCACUUUGCCCACCCUUAGCUUUAAUGCCCCCUCAAACUAUCUUCCUACUUGAUCGCACGAGAUCAUGCUUGAAAAAAAAUAAUACAAAAUCCAAGUCUUACCAGCCAUCUAGCAUUAUACACAAAAAAACACAGCAUAAAUCAGACAGUAUCAAUUUUGCAUGAUCAUGCAAAUAUUUGAAGUCUUCCCACAUUUAGCCAGAAUGAUAACACCAAUACGGCAAUAAACUAGUUGCCUUGAGGAGGAUCAUGCCCUGAUCUAGCACUAAGAAAACUAAAACAAUUGGACGAGGACUUUGAGGAGGAUUAGGA
Long non-coding RNA from Phragmites australis (common reed), 1271 nucleotides. RefSeq lists it as uncharacterized. The record is from RefSeq and is a predicted model, not a curated record. NCBI's taxonomy places the organism in Eukaryota, Viridiplantae, Streptophyta, Magnoliopsida, Poales, Poaceae. The transcript is spliced from 3 exons.